Molecule: long non-coding RNA, 299 nt
Organism: Penaeus monodon (black tiger shrimp)
Lineage: Eukaryota; Metazoa; Arthropoda; Malacostraca; Decapoda; Penaeidae
Exons: 3
Source: RefSeq, a predicted model, not a curated record
AUUCCAAAAUGCCAGUGUAAGGAAAAGGGUGGACAGGAAGGACUGCGAUACUUGUAAAGAUGGGAACUGUCAAAGAGAUUUGUGUGAGGACUUCCACUGUGCAAAUGAGGGGAAGUGCAUCAUAGACCCUGGCCCUCCAAAAUCAGCCAGGUGCUCCUGUUCACCGGGGUAUCACGGAACCCAUUGUGAAAUCUCCAUAUGCCAAGGCUUUUGCGUGCAUGGUAUAUGUAAAAUCCGCCAAGGUGAACCAAUGUGGCGAGUGUGAUGGUGGUUGGAGGGGUCGCUUAUGUGUAUGAAGC